This 102-nucleotide non-coding RNA is filed under the name Viridibacillus arenosi. RNAcentral's name for it is "Guanine sequence". It matches the Rfam family "Purine riboswitch aptamer". From Rfam's summary of the family: Riboswitches are metabolite binding domains within certain messenger RNAs that serve as precision sensors for their corresponding targets. Allosteric rearrangement of mRNA structure is mediated by ligand binding, and this results in modulation of gene expression. A class of riboswitches that selectively recognises guanine and becomes saturated at concentrations as low as 5 nM. The record is from RNAcentral. RNAcentral also lists the same sequence under 1 other name. Lineage: Bacteria; Bacillati; Bacillota; Bacilli; Caryophanales; Caryophanaceae.
AUUAUAUAUAUUGAUUACCCUCAUAUAUGUUCGAAAAUAAGGUUCGGAUGUCUCUACCAGGUUACCGUAAAUGACUUGACUAUGAAGGUGAAUGACAGCGUG